RNAcentral lists this transfer RNA (68 nucleotides) under Erysipelotrichaceae bacterium. Its description in RNAcentral is "tRNA-OTHER". It matches the Rfam family "tRNA". From Rfam's summary of the family: Transfer RNA (tRNA) molecules are approximately 80 nucleotides in length. Lineage: Bacteria; Bacillati; Bacillota; Erysipelotrichia; Erysipelotrichales; Erysipelotrichaceae. The record is from RNAcentral.
CGCGGGGUAGAGCAGCCUGGUAGCUCGUCGGGNNGAGGUCGUUGGUUCAAAUCCUUCCCCCGCAACCA